AUAUUUUGAAAUGGAUUUUUUUGUUUUGGCAAGAGCAUGAGAGCUUUUACUGGGCAAGAAGACAAGAGAUGGAGAGUCCAGCCGGGCCUGCGCUUAAGUGCGCGGUCUUGCUAGGCUUGUAAGUUUCUUUCUUGCUAUUCCAAACGGUGAGAGAUUUCUGUGCUUUUGUUAUAGGACAAUUAAAACCGUUUCAAUACAACACACUGUGGAGUUUUCAUAUCUUUGCAACUUUUUCUUUGGGCAUUCGAGCAAUCGGGGCCCAGAGGUAACAAACACAAACAAUUUUAUCUAUUCAUUAAAUUUUUGUCAAAAACAAGAAUUUUCGUAACUGGAAAUUUUAAAAUAUUAAAAACUUUCAACAACGGAUCUCUUGGUUCUCGCAUCGAUGAAGAACGCAGCGAAAUGCGAUACGUAAUGUGAAUUGCAGAAUUCCGUGAAUCAUCGAAUCUUUGAACGCACAUUGCGCCCCUUGGUAUUCCAGGGGGCAUGCCUGUUUGAGCGUCAUUUCCUUCUCAAACAUUCUGUUUGGUAGUGAGUGAUACUCUUUGGAGUUAACUUGAAAUUGCUGGCCUUUUCAUUGGAUGUUUUUUUUCCAAAGAGAGGUUUCUCUGCGUGCUUGAGGUAUAAUGCAAGUACGGUCGUUUUAGGUUUUACCAACUGCGGCUAAUCUUUUUUUAUACUGAGCGUAUUGGAACGUUAUCGAUAAGAAGAGAGCGUCUAGGCGAACAAUGUUCUUAAAGUUUGACCUCAAAUCAGGUAGGAGUACCCGCUGAACUUAAGCAUAUCAUA
This 789-nucleotide ribosomal RNA is filed under the name Saccharomyces cerevisiae (brewer's yeast). RNAcentral's name for it is "eukaryotic LSU rRNA". The stretch from base 351 to 504 matches the Rfam family "5.8S ribosomal RNA". Lineage: Eukaryota; Fungi; Ascomycota; Saccharomycetes; Saccharomycetales; Saccharomycetaceae. The record is from RNAcentral.